Molecule: small nuclear RNA, 190 nt
Organism: Macaca mulatta (Rhesus monkey)
Lineage: Eukaryota; Metazoa; Chordata; Mammalia; Primates; Cercopithecidae
Gene: U2
Rfam family: U2 spliceosomal RNA
About the family: U2 is a small nuclear RNA (snRNA) component of the spliceosome (involved in pre-mRNA splicing).
Source: Ensembl
AUGGCUUCUCGACCUUUUGGCUAAGAUCCAGUGUAGUAUCUGUUCUUAUCGGUUUAAUAUCUGAUACAUCCUCCAUCCAAGGACAAUAUAUUAAAUAGAUUUUGGAGCAGAGAGAUGGAAUAGAAGCUUGCUCCAUCCACUCCAUGCAUCAACCUGGUAUUGCAGUACCUCCAGGAACAGUGCACCCCCU